Vidua macroura (Pin-tailed whydah) is the source of this 455-nucleotide long non-coding RNA. RefSeq lists it as uncharacterized. The transcript has 3 exons. The record is from RefSeq and is a predicted model, not a curated record. NCBI's taxonomy places the organism in Eukaryota, Metazoa, Chordata, Aves, Passeriformes, Viduidae.
GAAUGAGAGCCGUUGGGUGGGCAUCUGGCCACAGACAACCCAACACAACCACAACAGAAAUUGUUACACUUGAGGAGUUGCUCUGGUAAACCUGCAAUGAGGCAAACCUGCAUUGUACCCAGACAUCCAUCUAAGAGAGAACCUUCAGAACACCAUAAUUUUUCCAAAAUGAUUGAUCUUCAGUCAGUCAGUCUGACCACCAGCUGGAUAAGAAGGAAAAUAACAACAGAGUUCAGAGAGUCUUCCAUGCCAUAUGAAAGAAAUAUGCACAUUUUCAAGGACUGAGAUGGCUUAUUUCUUAAUAUUCCCAUUUUUUUGAUGUCGCUUUUUUCAGAAGAAAGUUUGAAAAUGAAAAUGUACAAAACCAAUUGCAGGCCACUUUAUUUACUAAAAAAACCCUGUCUAUGGCUUCUGAAACCUGUGGUUCAAAGCUUUGAUUUUUUUUUUCUUUUGAA